This 254-nucleotide ribosomal RNA is filed under the name uncultured bacterium. RNAcentral's name for it is "partial 16S ribosomal RNA". It matches the Rfam family "Bacterial small subunit ribosomal RNA", at positions 524 to 776 of the family's 1533-position model. The record is from RNAcentral.
UACGUAGGGUGCGAGCGUUGUCCGGAAUUAUUGGGCGUAAAGAGCUCGUAGGCGGCUUGUCGCGUCGGAUGUGAAAGCCCGGGGCUUAACUCCGGGUCUGCAUUCGAUACGGGCAGGCUAGAGUUCGGUAGGGGAGAUCGGAAUUCCUGGUGUAGCGGUGUAAUGACGCAGAUAUCAGGAGGAACACCGGUGGCGAAGGCGGAUCUCUGGGCCGAUACUGACGCUGAGGAGCGAAAGCGUGGGGAGCGAACAGG